RNAcentral lists this ribosomal RNA (424 nucleotides) under uncultured prokaryote. Its description in RNAcentral is "bacterial SSU rRNA". It matches the Rfam family "Bacterial small subunit ribosomal RNA", at positions 355 to 796 of the family's 1533-position model. The record is from RNAcentral.
UGGGGAAUAUUGGACAAUGGGCGCAAGCCUGAUCCAGCCAUGCCGCGUGAGUGAUGAAGGCCUUAGGGUUGUAAAGCUCUUUCACCGGGGAAGAUAAUGACGGUACCCGGAGAAGAAGCCCCGGCUAACUCCGUGCCAGCAGCCGCGGUAAUACGGAGGGGGCUAGCGUUGUUCGGAAUUACUGGGCGUAAAGCGCGCGUAGGCGGCUUGCCAAGUUGGGGGUGAAAUCCCGGGGCUCAACCCUGGAACUGCCCUCGAAACUGGUUCGCUCGAGUCCGGGAGAGGUGAGUGGAAUUCCCAGUGUAGAGGUGGAAUUCGUAGAUAUUGGGAAGAACACCAGCGGCGAAGGCGGCUCACUGGACCGGUACUGACGCUGAGGCGCGAAAGCGUGGGGAGCAAACAGGAUUAGAUACCCCCGUAGUCC